This 427-nucleotide unclassified non-coding RNA is filed under the name plant metagenome. Its description in RNAcentral is "partial contains small subunit ribosomal RNA, internal transcribed spacer 1, and 5.8S ribosomal RNA". The record is from RNAcentral.
UUUCCGUAGGUGAACCUGCGGAAGGAUCAUUACCGUAUUUAUAAAAAUACAAAAAACCGCUUGAGUACUGUGUAGUUAAAAAUAUGAAUAAAUGUUUAGCAUGACAGUCUCAAACUAAAACGUCUUACCAUCCAACUCAUGCUAAUGUAAAAUGUAUCGAGUGGUAAGAGGCCUAUGUGAACAGUGUUGAUCAUAGGUAAAGGAAAUUAGGUUUACACAGAGUUGUAUGUGUGUAAGUUUUGUAAAUCAUGGCAGGUUAUAAUCCAAUAAAGUAUUGUUUCGCCGUGGUUUAUUCUUACACUUUGUGCUCUGGUAAUUUCCUAAGUUCUUUCGGGAACUUAAAACAAGCAAUAUUAACGUGUAUGUUGUAACAUAAUAAAAACUAAGAGAAAAAAAUCAACCUCGAGUGGUGGAUCACUCGGCUCGU